Molecule: ribosomal RNA, 496 nt
Filed under: uncultured bacterium
Lineage: Bacteria
Description: partial 16S ribosomal RNA
Rfam family: Bacterial small subunit ribosomal RNA
Source: RNAcentral
GAUGAACGCUGGCGGCGUGCCUAAUACAUGCAAGUCGAGCGAACAGAUGAGGAGCUUGCUCCUCUGACGUUAGCGGCGGACGGGUGAGUAACACGUGGAUAACCUACCUAUAAGACUGGGAUAACUUCGGGAAACCGGAGCUAAUACCGGAUAAUAUAUUGAACCGCAUGGUUCAAUAGUGAAAGACGGUUUUGCUGUCACUUAUAGAUGGAUCCGCGCCGCAUUAGCUAGUUGGUAAGGUAACGGCUUACCAAGGCAACGAUGCGUAGCCGACCUGAGAGGGUGAUCGGCCACACUGGAACUGAGACACAGUCCAGACUCCUACGGGAGGCAGCAGUAGGGAAUCUUCCGCAAUGGGCGAAAGCUUGACGGAGCAACGCCGCGUGAGUGAUGAAGGUCUUCGGAUCGUAAAACUCUGUUAUUAGGGAAGAACAAAUGUGUAAGUAACUAUGCACGUCUUGACGGUACCUAAUCAGAAAGCCACGGCUAACUACGU